GAAGUGCGAUAAGCAAUGCGAAUUGCAGAAUUCCGCGAAUCAUCAGAUCUUUGAACGCAAAUGGCGCCAGAGGGAUAUCCUUCUGGCAUGUCUGUUUCAGUGUCUGAGAGGUUUCACACUAAUCUUAAUGUGAUUGAAUUCGGCUUGUUGGUUUUUAACUAACUAACUAACUUGCUAAAAUUCUCUCAUGAAAUAUGCGUGAGUGGAUCUUUCGGUCCAAUGAAGUGGUCACAUCACUCGAAUGUGAUUUCAUUGGAAGCACCGAAUUAUCAUACAUAGCUCAUGGUAUCAUCAUCAUAUAUAUAUAUAUUGUUGAUGAGUUGUUGUUGUUGUUGCAAAACAGCGACUUACCCAACAACAACAACAAUGUAUAUACUCUCUACAACCUGCAUCUGAGAUAGGCAAGAUCACCCGCUGAACUUAAGC
Molecule: unclassified non-coding RNA, 426 nt
Filed under: plant metagenome
Description: partial contains 5.8S ribosomal RNA, internal transcribed spacer 2, and large subunit ribosomal RNA
Rfam family: 5.8S ribosomal RNA (bases 1-105)
Source: RNAcentral